CAGCCCUCAUAAUUUGUUGUUCAUAAUUAGGUAGAUAACGUCAACAUGUAUAAAAUGUACACCAAAAUUUUACUAGCUACUUUGUUGGUUAUCAAAAUUGCACAUACGAUUGCCAUACCUGACCAUUUAAACGCAACGAUGAUUAGCAGUGUUCAUGCAUCACAACUGAACAGAGAUCUAACAGAAUCCAUCAAAGAACAGAUAAAACUGGGUUUGGCACAAGCAAAAGAUGAGGUUAUCCACCAAAUGGAGGUACUCGUUGCCGAAUACGCGUCAGAAACCAGACAAGGAUGUCAGUCUGGAGUAUUUGGCGAGCAUGCCUAUCCAGAGAUGAAAUUUCCAGCUUCAGGAUACAUUACGUUUAAUCCACCAUUUACUGCUGUUCCAGCCUUAGUGUACGGAUUAUAUCUGUAUGACACUUCAAAGAACACCAAUUCUCGACUGGUCACAGAUGUUAGCAAUCUCUCCAAAUCUGGAUUCAAUCUGAAGAUCUAUACCUUUGCAGGAACAAAAAUGUGGGGAGCUCGUAUUUCCUGGAUGGCUUGUCCUAAAUCAAUUGUCGAUAUUUAACGCAAAUAUCAAAUUAUUUUGUGAAAUAAAAGGAAUCUUUAUCAGUC
Long non-coding RNA from Mytilus californianus (California mussel), 617 nucleotides. RefSeq lists it as uncharacterized. The transcript is spliced from 3 exons. The record is from RefSeq and is a predicted model, not a curated record. Lineage: Eukaryota; Metazoa; Mollusca; Bivalvia; Mytilida; Mytilidae.